ACAGCUCAAAUUUGAAAUCUGGCCUCUUCGAGGUCCGAGUUGUAAUUUGUAGAGGGUGUUUCGGGCGCGAUGCCGGUCUAAGUUCCUUGGAACAGGACGUCGCAGAGGGUGAGAAUCCCGUACGCGGCCGGCGAUCAAGCCCAUGUGAAGCCCCUUCGACGAGUCGAGUUGUUUGGGAAUGCAGCUCAAAAUGGGUGGUAAAUUUCAUCUAAAGCUAAAUAUUGGCCAGAGACCGAUAGCGGACAAGUAGAGUGAUCGAAAGAUGAAAAGCACUUUGGAAAGAGAGUCAAACAGCACGUGAAAUUGUUGAAAGGGAAGCGCUUGCAAUCAGACCGGUCCGGAGGCGAUCAGCCGCUGCUCGUUCAGCGGUGCACUCGCCUGCGAUCCGGCCAGCAUCGGUCUGGGCGGUGGGACAAAAGUCCCGGGAAUGUAGCUUCUUUCGGGGAGUCUUAUAGCCCGGGUCGCAAUGCCGCCUGCCCGGACCGAGGACCGCGCUUCGGCUAGGAUGCUGGCGUAAUGGUUGCAAGCG
Molecule: ribosomal RNA, 529 nt
Filed under: Sticta cf. lherminieri
Lineage: Eukaryota; Fungi; Ascomycota; Lecanoromycetes; Peltigerales; Lobariaceae
Description: eukaryotic LSU rRNA
Rfam family: Eukaryotic large subunit ribosomal RNA
Source: RNAcentral